Molecule: ribosomal RNA, 267 nt
Filed under: Providencia rettgeri
Lineage: Bacteria; Pseudomonadati; Pseudomonadota; Gammaproteobacteria; Enterobacterales; Morganellaceae
Description: partial 16S ribosomal RNA
Rfam family: Bacterial small subunit ribosomal RNA
Source: RNAcentral
CCCAGACUCCUACGGGAGGCAGCAGUGGGGAAUAUUGCACAAUGGGCGCAAGCCUGAUGCAGCCAUGCCGCGUGUAUGAAGAAGGCCCUAGGGUUGUAAAGUACUUUCAGUCGGGAGGAAGGCGUUGUUGCUAAUAUCAACAACGAUUGACGUUACCGACAGAAGAAGCACCGGCUAACUCCGUGCCAGCAGCCGCGGUAAUACGGAGGGUGCAAGCGUUAAUCGGAAUUACUGGGCGUAAAGCGCACGCAGGCGGUUGAUUAAGUU